UCUCUCUCUCUCUCUCUCUCUGCACAAAUCGAAGCUUCUUUGACUCUUCUUUGCUUUAAAUUUCAACAUUUGGGGCUUAAUUUCUGUAAAUUCUCCUUAGUUUUCUAUCUCUUCUGUGUUCAUCUCUCAAGUCAAAGCAAAUUUCUAUAAAUUUGUACAUACUGUAGCAUCUCUCCAAAACAACAGAUGCUCUCUCCAAAUUUUCUGUUCUCUGCUUAUUUGUUGAUGUGUUUAUGUACAAAACUAUGAGCCAGUGUGGGGUCUCCUGGGUUUUUAAUCAUCAAGAUCCAAUUGGUUCUCUCUAAAAAAUUUCUGGGUCAUUCUUAUGAACACAUAAUCUUUUAUAAAAAUUUGUGGGUUUUUGUUAAAAUUUGAUUUGAGUUGAACAUAUUACUUGGUUUGGGUUUCAUUUGGGUUUGUGAUCUAUAACAAAUUCUGGUUUCGAUAGAGCCAUGGCGGUCUCAACAAUAGCUUUGUAUGCGAACCCACCUAGCAGCGUAUGUUCAGCACCACAUACGUGCCAAAUCAAUGCACACGCGACGUAUGAUUUUGAGCUGACCUCGAGAUCUUCAUCGGUAGCUUCAUCUAGUUCAUCUUCUUCACAGAAAUCUGUGGUAGGUGGCUUGUCGUGUUUGUUCUCGUCUUCAACUGUGAAACAUUCAUCGUUUUCGGGUGAUAGAGAGGAAUUGGGUUCUUUGUGGCAUGAUAGAGGAGAGGAAUUGAAGGAAUUGAGCAGUUCGUUUCGCUUAUCACCGAGUAAAUAUCUCGGUGGGUCUUCUAUAAAGAGGGAUCAAAGUCCAAUAUCGGUGCUGCAAGGGCCAGUCUCGUGUUCUAGUAGUCCUCCCAUGAGGAUUGCUCGUGAAAGAAGUGCUGAUAUGAGUUUCCAAAGCUCAAUUCAUGGUUCAUUUCGCAGUGGGGCUAGUGGAUUGUUUAAUGGGUUCGUUAGACAUGCGCUAGGAUCUUGUGUUGAUUAUGAUUCGCCGAGUUUUGAUGUUCACAGUGUUGGAACUGAUGGGGGUUCUUCAUCUAUUGCUGUGGAUGAAUUGACAUUUAAUAUGGAGGAUAGUUUUGUGGAGGCUAAUAACGAGCCUUAUGCCAAAGAAUUGCUGAUGGUUGCGCAAAUGAGGCACAAAAUCUUUUGUGAAGAUUUUGUUGUGAAGGCUUUUUAUGAAGCUGAGAAAGCUCAUAGAGGACAGAUGCGGGCAAGUGGAGAUCCAUAUUUGCAGCAUUGUGUGGAGACUGCAGUUUUGCUCGCAAUGAUUGGGGCUAACUCUACAGUGGUCGCUGCAGGGCUUUUACAUGACACUAUUGACGAUUCUUUUUUAAGCUAUGACUAUAUAUUUAGGACAUUUGGAGCAGGGGUAGCUGAUUUGGUGGAAGGGGUCUGUAAGCUUAGUCACUUAAGUAAGCUAGCCCGUGAGAACAAUACAGCAAACAAGACUGUUGAAGCAGAUCGCUUGCAUACCAUGUUCCUUGCCAUGGCAGAUGCCAGGGCUGUCCUGAUAAAAUUGGCAGAUCGAUUGCAUAACAUGAUGACAUUAGAUGCAUUGCCUUUGAUCAAGCAACAGAGAUUUGCUAAGGAGACUUUGGAGAUAUUUGCUCCAUUGGCAAACCGUUUAGGAAUCUCCACUUGGAAAGAGCAACUGGAGAAUCUGUGUUUUAAGCAUCUCAACCCAGAGCAGCACAGAGAUUUGUCUUCUAGACUUGUGCAGUCUUUUGAUGAGGCAAUGAUUACUUCUGCAACAGAGAAAUUAGACCAAGCUCUCAAGGAUGAAGCCAUUUCAUACCAUGUUCUGUCUGGGCGGCAUAAAAGCUUGUAUAGCAUUUAUUGCAAAAUGUUGAAGAAGAAGUUGAACAUGGAUGAGAUUCAUGAUAUUCAUGGUCUACGUCUGAUUGUUGAAAAUGAGGAAGAUUGUUAUAGAGCAUUGAAAGUUGUUCACCAGUUGUGGUCUGAAGUACCUGGAAAAUUCAAAGACUACAUAAAACAUCCCAAGUUCAAUGGAUAUCAAUCUCUCCACACCGUAGUAAUGGCUGAAGGCAUGGUGCCACUUGAAGUUCAAAUUCGAACAAAGGAGAUGCAUUUGCAAGCUGAGUUUGGAUUUGCAGCUCAUUGGAGAUACAAGGAAGGUGAUUGCAAGCACUCUUCAUUUGUGCUUCAGAUGGUUGAGUGGGCACGAUGGGUUGUGAGCUGGCAGUGUGAGACAAUGAGCAAAGACCAUUCUUCCAUUAGCUGUGCUGAUUCUAUGAAACCUCCCUGUGCGUUUCCUACUCAUUCUGCUGAUUGCCCAUAUUCCUACAAGCCACACUGUGGCCACGAUGGACCAGUCUUCGUCAUCAUGAUGGAGAAUGACAAGGUUUGAUUCCUUAAUUUCAUGUUGAAUGCAGAAUAAUAGAUAGUAGAGGGCUAAGUAAUCGUUAUCACGUCUGUGCAACCUUUUCUGAGCAAUUAUACUGAUUGUACUUGCUAAUAUAUGUUUAUACUUCAGGGCCACCUCAGGCAGUAAUGAGUGUUUUUGGUAUUUAAUAAUGGAUGAUGAUGAUUGAUGCAACUGUCAAUGUUUGAAAAAAGAGAGAACAAAACAAGUGGCAUAUACUAAUAGGUUUUUAUCAAGUAUCUUAACAAAUUGUGUUUCAUCUGCACUUGGGAUAACUAAUACUUAGGCACUUGGUGGCUUGGUGGUGGUUACAACUUUAUCAGUGGCACUGCUUAACAACUUCACAAGGAAACGUUUACCCUUGUCUUAUUGAAUGUGUACUUGUCAAUGAUGCAGAUGUCGGUGCAAGAGUUUCCUGCAAACUCGACUAUGAUGGAUUUGCUGGAAAGGGUUGGACGGGGAAACUCAAGAUGGUCUUCAUAUGGGUUUCCUGUCAAGGAAGAAUUGAGGCCAAGGCUGAAUCACAAGCCAUUAAGUGAUACUUCACGCAAGCUGAAGAUGGGGGAUGUGGUGGAGCUGACUCCAGCCAUACCUGACAAAUGUUUGACGGAGUGCAGGGAAGAGAUUCAGCGCAUGUAUGACCGGGGAUCGACUACUGUCCCAAGUACAGCAACUGCUGCUGGUGGGAUGGUUGGGUGGAGAAGUUGACCCUUAAUUGAUCGUUCGCCAAGUAGCAUACCAUUUAAUGACAAUUGGUUAUUCUUGUAUAUGCAUGUGUUUGUACAGAACAGUUACAAUGGUUCUGGCAGUGACUUAUUGGAUCCAAAAAUGCCUCCAAAAGAUUUAUUUUAAGUUCCCACAACGAAUGAUGACUACCGUAUUGUCUUUUACGCUACCUUCCCUGAUGGCAUUAUUGUAUUAAGUGGAAACUGUCCUGUUGAUGUAAAAUGUAAUUGAAUCUUACAAGCUUGAAGCAAAAUGUGCAAUUUGGGAUGUGUACGCUCUGCAGAAGAGUCCUAUGCCUGCAAGCCCACGUUAGUAGAACUGGUAGCUUGUAUUACAGUAGUUUUGUGGACCUUUACAAAAGAAGAAUAACGUCUAAUCCUUAAUAGAUUCAACAAAAUCAGCAAUUUUGUUUGUUCGUCUGUGUUUCUCAUUUCAAACUGGGCAAACACGGAGAGGACCAAGACCAAAAUAUUUUUGCAUAGAUCUAAUGGUAACUAAAAGAACACAAACCACUGAAUGUGAUUAAAUCCACUUGCGGGGGUCAAAUAAGAAAAAGGAAGUACCAAGUUAUCUCCUUUUUCCUUCUAAAUUGAUAUAACCGUUGGUUCCUCUUCAUAUAAAUAUAGGACUCUCUUCUCAGCAACAUGGUUUUCUCACUGUCUUAACUGUGGGAGCGUAAAAUUCUUACUUGGAACGUUUGGUAAGGGGAAAGGAUACUCUCUGAGGAGUAUUAUGCUGUGGAACAUCUGUCUUUGGUUCUUGUGAUGGGUUGAGAUCAGUGCUUUCUUCAUCCUCCUCUGUUUCUUCUACUGCCUGGGAAGGCUGCUUCUUUGGGAUGGCAAGUUGGUAGUUUGGGCUAAUCAAGGUGUCCUGCUCUGGUGGAAGUGGAAUACCAGGUCCAGCUAUUGUCUUGGGCAGUGGGAUUUUGUUCCUGUUUCUAGCCAAUUCCAGUAAAACCUCUCUUGGUGGUGGUUGUGAGAAGCUGAAAUUUACUUUCGAUUGAAUAGCAAGCUUGACAUCAUCACAAUCAAUUGCAGAUUUGCCAGCAUGCUCACAAUAAACCUGUGCAUCUGUCAACACAUCAACAACAUAACGAUACCAUAGCUCCAGAAACUGGUGUAUAACACGAGGUUCAUAUUCCUCCACACCCAUUGAUUUCAGUAGCGACUUGACAAUCUUUGCAUCUCUAGGCAGGUCCUCAUCUCCCUCUGCCAUUCUUUCAAACUGGGAAUUAAACUUAGAAAUCGGAAAGACGAAAGCUCUGGUGUAGUAAAUGAGGAAGAAGUAGGGUUCCAGAGCCAGCCAGCCCGCCAGACUUCGGUUGCUG
This 4428-nucleotide unclassified non-coding RNA is filed under the name Hevea brasiliensis (rubber tree). Lineage: Eukaryota; Viridiplantae; Streptophyta; Magnoliopsida; Malpighiales; Euphorbiaceae. The record is from RNAcentral.